This 255-nucleotide ribosomal RNA is filed under the name uncultured bacterium. RNAcentral describes it as "partial 16S ribosomal RNA". It matches the Rfam family "Bacterial small subunit ribosomal RNA", at positions 94 to 347 of the family's 1533-position model. The record is from RNAcentral.
AGCGGCGGACGGGUGAGUAACACGUGGGCAACCUGCCUCAUAGAGGGGAAUAGCCUCCCGAAAGGGAGAUUAAUACCGCAUAAGAUUGUAGCUUCGCAUGAAGUAGCAAUUAAAGGAGCAAUCCGCUAUGAGAUGGGCCCGCGGCGCAUUAGCUAGUUGGUGAGGUAACGGCUCACCAAGGCGACGAUGCGUAGCCGACCGGAGAGGGUGAUCGGCCCCAUUGGGACUGAGACACGGCCCAGACUCGGGCGGGAG